Molecule: ribosomal RNA, 492 nt
Filed under: uncultured bacterium
Lineage: Bacteria
Description: partial 16S ribosomal RNA
Rfam family: Bacterial small subunit ribosomal RNA
Source: RNAcentral
AGUGAACGCUGGCGGUAGGCCUAACACAUGCAAGUCGAGCGGCAGCACAGUGCUAGCUUGCUCUUACGGCUGGCGAGUGGCGGAUGGGUGCUGGAUACAUCGGAAUCUACUUUUUCUUGGGGGCUAACGCAGGGGCUCUUACGCUAUUACUCCAUACGACCUACGUGUGAGAUCAUCGGAUCUUCGGCCCUUGCACGAUCGUAUGAGCCGAGGUCGGAUUAGCUAGUUGGCGGGGUAAAGGCCCACCAAGGCGACGAUCCGUAGCUGGUCUGAGAGGAUGAUCAGGCACACUGGAACUGAGACACGGUCCAGACUCCUACGGGAGGCAGCAGUGGGGAAUAUUGGACAAUGGGCGAAAGCCUGAUCCAGCCAUGCCGCGUGGGUGAAGAAGGUCUUCGGAUUGUAAAGCACUUUUGGUGGGAAGGAAAAGCAGUAAGUUAAUACCUUGCUGUUUUGACGGUACCAAAAGAAUAAGCACCGGCUAACUUCGUG